Molecule: long non-coding RNA, 245 nt
Filed under: Capsicum annuum
Lineage: Eukaryota; Viridiplantae; Streptophyta; Magnoliopsida; Solanales; Solanaceae
Description: long non-coding RNA (CANN_LNC009004)
Source: RNAcentral
GGAUUACACUACAUAUAAGGCUGCCAAAGAAUAAGCUAAAGGCCCAGUGAGGUUACCAAGUAUAUUGCCUAAGGCUAGGUUAAAAAGAAGGUAUAAAACAAGUCUAUCAAAUAAAUGCCUAUAUCAUCUCCUAAACCUAUACUUUUUAUUUUCCUUUGCACACAUCAGGCAAGUUCUAAACAUCACAUACAACAAGGAAUAUACAAAUACCUCGCAUGCACAAGGCAUAUAUUUGAUUCAUGUAG